This 253-nucleotide ribosomal RNA is filed under the name uncultured bacterium. RNAcentral describes it as "partial 16S ribosomal RNA". It matches the Rfam family "Bacterial small subunit ribosomal RNA", at positions 524 to 776 of the family's 1533-position model. The record is from RNAcentral.
UACGUAGGGGGCUAGCGUUGUCCGGAAUCAUUGGGCGUAAAGCGCGUGUAGGCGGUCCGGUAAGUCCGCUGUGAAAGUCGGGGGCUCAACCCUCGGAUGCCGGUGGAUACUGCCGGGCUAGAGUCCGGGAGAGGCGAGUGGAAUUCCUGGUGUAGCGGUGGAAUGCGCAGAUAUCAGGAGGAACACCUAAGGCGAAGGCAGCUCGCUGGAACGGUACUGACGCUGAGGCGCGAAAGCGUGGGGAGCAAACAGG